AGCGAAUGGAUUAAGAGCUUGCUCUUAUGAAGUUAGCGGCGGACGGGUGAGUAACACGUGGGUAACCUGCCCAUAAGACUGGGAUAACUCCGGGAAACCGGGGCUAAUACCGGAUAACAUUUUGAACCGCAUGGUUCGAAAUUGAAAGGCGGCUUCGGCUGUCACUUAUGGAUGGACCCGCGUCGCAUUAGCUAGUUGGUGAGGUAACGGCUCACCAAGGCAACGAUGCGUACCCGACCUGAGAGGGUGAUCGGCCACACUGGGACUGAGACACGGCCCAGACUCCUACGGGAGGCAGCAGUAGGGAAUCUUCCGCAAUGGACGAAAGUCUGACGGAGCAACGCCGCGUGAGUGAUGAAGGCUUUCGGGUCGUAAAACUCUGUUGUUAGGGAAGAACAAGUGCUAGUUGAAUAAGCUGGCACCUUGACGGUACCUAACCAAAAAGCCACGGCUAACUACGUGCCAGCAGCCGCGGUAAUACGUAGGUGGCAAGCGUUAUCCGGAAUUAUUGGGCGUAAAGCGCGCGCAGGUGGUUUCUUAAGUCUGAUGUGAAAGCCCACGGCUCAACCGUGGAGGGUCAUUGGAAACUGGGAGACUUGAGUGCAGAAGAGGAGAGUGGAAUUCCAUGUGUAGCGGUGAAAUGCGUAGAGAUAUGGAGGAACACCAGUGGCGAACGCGACUUUCUGGUCUGUAACUGACACUGAGGCGCGAAAGCGUGGG
This 720-nucleotide ribosomal RNA is filed under the name Bacillus sp. enrichment culture clone DWSRK129. RNAcentral describes it as "bacterial SSU rRNA". It matches the Rfam family "Bacterial small subunit ribosomal RNA", at positions 65 to 765 of the family's 1533-position model. Lineage: Bacteria; Bacillati; Bacillota; Bacilli; Caryophanales; Bacillaceae. The record is from RNAcentral.